Molecule: long non-coding RNA, 842 nt
Organism: Amphiprion ocellaris (clown anemonefish)
Lineage: Eukaryota; Metazoa; Chordata; Actinopteri; Pomacentridae
Exons: 3
Source: RefSeq, a predicted model, not a curated record
CAAGCACACAACCCUGAACACACACUCCCAGGCAGAGGACAGGACUCUCUUUGAGUGCAAUAGAUACGGCUAAGUGGCUCAUGAAUCUACGGUUUCCUUCCCUGGACAUUUAUUGAAUCCCGUCUCAAAGCCGCUGUUCCCGUCUAACAACACCAGGAGAGAGAAACGCAGAAAGAGGGGUUUCCCAGAGACUAUGGGUUGAAGAGGAAUUGGAAGUUUGUCGGCUUAGACCUGGUGUCAUUCCAUCAGUGUUAAACUUCCCAGCUCAUCUUGGAAGAGUACAUGCCAGAAAGACCACAACCAAGCAGCCUUGAGAUCUUAGGCAACGUCUCCCUCAGGUCCCUCUCUAUCUCCCCACACAUCCACCAACCACUGGAACACAUCUCCAAAGUUCUGCUGGGCCAGCUCAGCUUCCCUUCAGAAGAAGUGCUGCCACCUGCCAGAUGAAGGAGCCUUUUGAGAGGCAGCUGGCAUCGUGAUUGGACUGUACUUUGGUCUGUUCCAAUCCAGCUUCAGCUCCAGAGACGGCAGACGGGACGAGUCAACGGAGGCCUGGUGGACGAAGUCAUGCAGCUGAGUACAAUCCAGAAAACAACAGAGGAGGAGUGCAGUGGCCCAGAGCCAGAACAAACAGAGUAGCAUCGUAUGUCUCUUAGAAAACAUCAUAGUAUAGCCUUUGGGAUGAAAAAACGCCAUCAUAUACAUCGUAUAUUGUACAAAUAACAAGUCAAAGCAAAGAGACAUACAUUGUAGAAUUGUAGUAAUUGUGGGCUGACUGAUUUACUGAUUAUCAGUAUUUUAUUUUUUACUGAUUUAUGGUAAUAAAUACAUUUACAAAUGGC